Long non-coding RNA from Neoarius graeffei (lesser salmon catfish), 1013 nucleotides. RefSeq lists it as uncharacterized. The record is from RefSeq and is a predicted model, not a curated record. Lineage: Eukaryota; Metazoa; Chordata; Actinopteri; Siluriformes; Ariidae. The transcript is spliced from 2 exons.
AAGAAGAAGAAGACCUGUUGUAUUCACGGCUGUCGUAAUAGGUCAGAUGAUGAAGUCAAGCGGAGCUUCUUCCGUAGAAAUCUAUGGUUUGUUAGAUUCAAACGCAAGGAUUAUCAGCCUUCCAAACACAGCAAAGUCUGCUCCGAUCAUUUUAUAAGUGGUUGUCCUGGGCCCUCUGAUCACCAUCGCUCUAAAGAUCUCAAGCAUCCAUGAGCGGACAGGACGUAGAGGCCCCACCGUGAUCACCUGAUCAGAACGCCAAGAUGCAGGAAAGGGGCCAAAUCAUGAGACGGCCUUCUUCUAGGAUCCGCUCUCCAUGUCUUCCUCACGGUCUUUCACAGCCUCGCUAUUAAUUUUCCCCUCAUGAAGCCAUGACUGCCUCUUGCUAGUCUGCACAACGUCUCACUAUUUACACUGUGUAUGAUUUUUGCUGCUGUUUCACAGACGAAACAAAUAUAUUCUUUCUCUUUGCAUUUGAGAGAGAGAAAGAGUAGUUAUUCCUUUUUAUACUGCCCCUUUACCCAUGUGAAUCAUUAAAAUGUCUCUUUCACACUACAUUUCUGCCACAGUUUUAUUCAUGUAGAAACCAGUGCAGUGUUUUGGUUGUUCUGGUUUGUUCCAGAGUUCAACUGAGGUAACUGCCCAUUUUUAUGGUCACUCUUAUUACAGUUGAACAUAAUGCACUGUUCCAUCCAGACAUUUACUGCUGUUGUAGCUCACAAAAACAAAUCAGUCAGAACUAUACAACAUGCUUGUGGUACGUCCUUAAAGCUGAACGUCUGUCUAUGAAUUUAAACUCAAUAUAUAGCCAGAGCUUUAUAGCAAAUGAAAGAGAAUUACCACUUUGUUAAAUCCCCCCCCCAAAAAAAAAGAGUGCACCUUUAAUUCUCAAAUACCAGUUUGUAUGAAUAUCACAGACAUUAUGGUGUGUAGUGUAGCAUGAAUAAACUAUUUUUUUUUUUGAGUGCCAUAAUUUGUAGUGUGGAAUAAAAUAAUCAUGUGAAGAACUGCAA